This 432-nucleotide ribosomal RNA is filed under the name uncultured bacterium. Its description in RNAcentral is "partial 16S ribosomal RNA". It matches the Rfam family "Bacterial small subunit ribosomal RNA", at positions 29 to 507 of the family's 1533-position model. The record is from RNAcentral.
ACGCACGCUGGCGGCAGGCCUAACACAUGCAAGUCGAGCGAGACCUUCGGGUCUAGCGGCGGACGGGUGAGUAACGCGUGGGAACGUGCCCUUUUCUACGGAAUAGCCUCGGGAAGCUGAGCGUAAUACCGUAUACGCCCUUUGGGGGAAAGAUUUAUCGGAGAAGGAUCGGCCCGCGUUGGAUUAGGUAGUUGGUGGGGUAAUGGCCUACCAAGCCUACGAUCCAUAGCUGGUUUGAGAGGAUGAUCAGCCACACUGGGACUGAGACACGGCCCAGACUCCUACGGGAGGCAGCAGUGGGGAAUCUUAGACAAUGGGGGCAACCCUGAUCUAGCCAUGCCGCGUGAGUGAUGAAGGCCUUAGGGUUGUAAAGCUCUUUCAGCUGGGAAGAUAAUGACGGUACCAGCAGAAGAAGCCCCGGCUAACUCCGUG